AGCAGCCGCGGUAAUUCCAGCUCCAAUAGCGUAUAUUAAAGUUGUUGCAGUUAAAAAGCUCGUAGUUGAAUUUCGGGGUCAGUAGGUUGGUCAUGCCACUGGUAUGUACUGGUCUCACUGAUUCCUCCUUCCUGAUGAACUGUAAUGCCAUUAAUUUGGUGUUGCAGGGAAUCUGGACUGUUACUUUGAAAAAAUUAGAGUGUUUAAAGCAGGCUAACGCCUGAAUACAUUAGCGUGGAAUAAUGAAAUAGGACGUUCGAUCCUAUUUUGUUGGUUUCUAGGAUUGACGUAAUGAUUAAUAGGGAUAGUUGGGGGCAUUAGUAUUCAAUUGUCAGAGGUGAAAUUCUUGGAUUUAUUGAAGACUAACUACUGCGAAAGCAUUUGCCAAGGAUGCUUUCAUUAAUCAAAGA
Molecule: ribosomal RNA, 410 nt
Filed under: uncultured Glomeromycotina
Lineage: Eukaryota; Fungi; Glomeromycota
Description: SSU rRNA
Rfam family: Eukaryotic small subunit ribosomal RNA
Source: RNAcentral